UUGGAAGGUUAUAAGUUCCGAGUAUAUUCAACAGUAGUUUGUCCAAAAAAUGAAGCUGAGUGGGAAAAGAGAUCGUCUGCUCUUAUGUGUUCUGAGGAAAAUGCAUACAUGUGUUUACCAAACGAACAUUUUACAGAGCUAUUGGAGUUUUGUUAUACAGAGAGUAGAAUAUUAAUUGAAGAAGGCCUUUGUCUUUAUUUAAUCAAAAGCAAUUCAUUAGUAAAUGAUUACAACUGCAACAAUUUUCGAUAUGGAUGCCCUACGUCUCCAUAUCUGAGCUCUAGAAUAUUUGAUUAUCCAAGUUGUGUACAUAUUGAAAAUGGAUGUUUCUUAACCGAACCAAAUUGUAAAAGUACAAAACCCACCUACACUCCAAAAACAACAACGCACAUACAAUUUGAGAAUGGCUUGAAUGAUAGUAUAACAACUAUUUCUCAAGAAACUACAAAGAAAAUACAGUUAGAGAUGAAUCCUAUCAACGACAAAACAAAUUGGAACCUGGUUGCAAUAAUUGUGUUAUUAGGCACAUUCGUCCCCAUAUGCCUGAUAUUCCUGACGUACAUCUACU
This is a long non-coding RNA of Magallana angulata, 568 nucleotides long. RefSeq lists it as uncharacterized. The record is from RefSeq and is a predicted model, not a curated record. Lineage: Eukaryota; Metazoa; Mollusca; Bivalvia; Ostreida; Ostreidae. The transcript has 4 exons.